AAAAAGUAAAAAAAUAAAUAUUAAAAUUUUUAAAAUAAAAAAGACUAUUUUGGUUAUUUUCUUUUUUAAGGGUUAUUUUUGUGAUAAAAAUUUUAAAUGGUUAUUCGAAAGAAUUACCUUGUUGACAAUGCUUUGAUUUUCCUUUCACCGCUCUGAAAUAGAACUAUAGAAAGAACUCAGCUGACAUCUUCACGAUGAAUCAUAAGAAAGAGUAGUUUACAAAAAAAAAAGAAUCAUAAAAAAGAUUAUCUACUUGAGAAGAAUAAAGUAUUCAAUUAGAAUUAAAAGGUAGCCUGCAUCCGAUUUCUUUUUGCUACACUCCAACCCCCGGAAAGCAAACUGAAGAAGAAGAAAACGAAACUAAAAAUUCGUUUAUAGAAUUGCAGAUGAUAAUUCAGUUUUGAACGUGGUGGUAGACUGGUAGUUAUCUCAGAAAUCUAAAGAUUUAAGAAUUGCAUUUUCAUAAAAGUAGGAUCGCAAGAAGCCAAGAACCAUAGCUUGCUGAUUUUUUUUUUAGAAAACUAAUACUCUAAAAAACUACAUAAAAAUAAGUGAAUGACACAUGUCACUCAUAGAAAUGCCAAUUGACUUAUGUUUUAUAAUAUAAAAAAUCGUGCUAAGUCAAACAAGUAGAAAAGAAAACGAUGUUGUAUAUAACUUCGAUUUGCUUCACUUUUUCAUUUGCGCAAAUGUGUCCUUUAGUUUCAAAAAGUUUGUUGGAGGUUGGCUAAUCACGGUAACAUUCAUUCUCCCGUGAGCAUAAACCGAUAUGCAUCAUCAUCUCCUUUAAACUUUAAUUAUUAUAGGAAUGAAACAAUAUGCAAAACUGUUAAGUAAUGUAUCUGGACUAUAUAACUCAUUAGCUAAUCUACAUCACACACAUGUAAAGGAAUAGAGAUUAAUUUUGAAUGAUAAAGAUAUAAAGCUAGGAAUAUCUCUAGUUUUAUAAGAGACGCGUAUGUGAGUGAAUAUUUCAUUUAAUUUUCAACCUCGUGAGAUAUCAUGUUCUUUUUUCAGAGACAUCUCAUGUGUAGUCGACCAAACUUUAAUCCCUCCCCGUUUUAAUGAUCAUCUUUUACCAUUUUACGAAACUUGUUUUAGAUCAAACCUUUUAUCAUAAAAAUAUAAUGUAAAUGAGAUUUUUUUUCCCUCAGACAGCUGUUGUACUCAAAUUUGAAGUGAUAUGGUAAUAUAUAUAUAUCCAUAUGAAAAAAUUUUGAUAUCUUAACUAAUGAAUUAGACGAUACAUUUUCAGAACGAAAAAUAAAAACAAUCAGAAAAUCGGAGAAUCUGUUCUUUAGUCUUGACAACUUUUUCAGUCCAGUGAAAAAAAAUUCGACCAUGCUCAUAAAUCUUGAAUCAUCGAAAUUAAAUCAUUGUAAUAGGUGCUAAAAAUCUACAAGUCAAUAAAUGUAGCAUGCACUCCAUAGCCUGAAAACUUUAAAUUCCUGAGUGUAGUGGUGAGAUCUUUGUGCGUUAGUUUUUUACUCCUAAAAUUUGAAUUACUCCUUUUGAAUUACCCUCAAAUGAGAUUUGGUUAAAGUAGUGGGAAACAGGGUGGAAUAACUUGUAUGCGAAGAAUCACAUCCCCUUCCCCGUUCUGCCAAAUGGACAUGACAUGGCUCAAUGUCACCCAACUAAUUAAAUAAUGACACGUUUAUUUACCACGUCACGCCGUAGUGCAUGGCAGUUGAAAGAAUCAAUCUGUUUGGUUCCACUUCCAAUCUGGUUUCAGCACCGUUAUAGAGAACCCACCGGAAAUCUAUAACUCUCGAUAGGCAAAACCGUCAUUACAUAUCAGUGUAAAUAAAUGCGCAUUUCACGACGGUUAGUGGUGGUGUGAGUGUGACACCAUAUCUUUUGCUAGUUACGUUCAUAGCCCCUGACAUUAUCAUACAGUACUGGUUUUUUGUGUCGUAUUUUUAUAUCAUGAUUCAAAUCAUGUAAAUGUUCAACGUACCCAAAGAAGAGACGCGAUUUGUGUGGGUACCUUAAAUGGAAAAGAAUACAUCGGUACACAAACUAUACCCGGAUUAAAAAAACGUAUAAUACACACUAUAGGGUAAAAUCAUCAUGAAUCUGGGAACCCAAGUUGCAGAGGGUAAGUUGGUAAAUUGAAUGAAGGCACGUGCCACAGAGAAUUACAGUCAACCCGCUUCAAAGAUAUUCCGAGAGUAGGUCCCACUAACUAACUUGCCAUUACCCCCCUCGUUGUAGCCCACUAAUAGGCCCACACUCACAGUCCCCUCAACGCUGCAUCAUAUGCGCGUGAAAUCCAAAGGCGCGUGGAUAGGAGGAAACCUCUCCCCCACCACCACCAGUCAGUCGUCUUCCUUCUCCUUCAAAUACCUCUCCUGAAACUCAUUAUUAAAAAAACUUAACGAAGCAGUAACCUCCUCCGCUUUUUUAAAAAUAUCACUUCAUCGAUACUCGUGAAAAGAUCACCAUGGAGCCUACUAGCUUAAUCGACGACGCUGAGUUCUCCCUUCCGCCGGAGCUUCUCACCGACGAUGAUUUCCUCGUGGAGGAGGAGAACAAGGUCGAUCGGUUCGGAAACUGUUUGUUCCCGUACGAGUCGAGUCAUUUUGGCUCUACCGUUAAACCAAUCGAUGACGAGGAGGAGAAGCUCGUAGCUGGAUUGACCAGUAAAAUGGUUAAGUCGUCUCUGAAAGAUGAUUUCUCCGGUGGAAAUCUCGGUAGCCACGCUUUUCCGGCGGGGAACGACGCCAAGACGCAAGUUUCUUCUCAGACGGUGGCGUGGGAUCUGCACUACGCACCGGCGGAGGAACUCAACGGUUAUAACAACCAUAAUGGCAGAGGACUGCUCGAUCUUCCCAGAAAAUAUACCCUCGCCGCAGCUAAAAUCACUAACGCCGGCUCUAGCUACUAUAACCGCCAAACUCUCCAGUACCAGAGGCUACAAGCUAUCCACUUUCAGCAGCUAAAGCAGCAGCAGCAGCAGUUGAUGAAGUACCAUCGCCAGUUGAUGCAGCAGCAGAGCAGAGGAUUAGGAGCUAAUAAUAACAGCAACAACAAAAUUGCUGGUUCUGUGGACUUGUCGCCGUCUGCAUGGUUUAAUCAGCCUCAGAGGGGUGAUGUUCCAGUAGGAAACCGUACCGGGAAACGUGGAUCAACCGGAACCGGCGUCUUCUUGCCCCGUUGUGUUAACCAUGUAACUGCCGCGGUUCGCCAGAAGCCCAUGCUUGCGACGAGUUUGGUUCCCGCUAGAGUGGUACAGCCAUCGGUCCGGUCGUCGCCUAGUCUAAAUGAUGGGUCGUGGAGCAACGAUGGCGGAUUCUCGAGCCAGAUGAAGAUGGAGCAGCCAGUGAAAGAGGAUCCCCGGUUACCUUUGGACUGGGCGUAUUGAUGGAUUUGGGUUUCCGUAACAUUUGGGUGGUGGUUUUUAGGAAAGGUUUGAAGAAGUUGAAGAAGAAAUAAAAUUAGAUUUGAUGAACAGGGUAGUGAAAAUAGUGGUGACAUUAGGGUUUAUAUAAAUAAUGAAAGAAUAAUAAAAUAAAGAAAUGAUAAAAGAGGAAGAUAUGGAGAAGACGAGGUUUUGGAUCGUUUUAACCCCCAUUGUUGGCUGAUAGAGGAAGAUGACCUUUUUUUCCUUGGGUUUUUGUUUGUUUAUGGUAUUAACCGCUGCUUUAGUACUCCCCUUCGGCCCUUCCUCUCUGUCUCUCUUUUAAUCUCAUAACUCUCAAGCAAUGGAGGGUGUAUUAUUGACAACGAUGCAUGCAUCAUUUCUUGAGUCUUUUUGCAUGCUGAA
Brassica rapa (field mustard) is the source of this 3769-nucleotide RNA transcript. RefSeq lists it as uncharacterized. NCBI's taxonomy places the organism in Eukaryota, Viridiplantae, Streptophyta, Magnoliopsida, Brassicales, Brassicaceae. The record is from RefSeq and is a predicted model, not a curated record.